Molecule: ribosomal RNA, 448 nt
Filed under: uncultured bacterium
Lineage: Bacteria
Description: bacterial SSU rRNA
Rfam family: Bacterial small subunit ribosomal RNA
Source: RNAcentral
UGGGGAAUAUUGGACAAUGGGCGAAAGCCUGAUCCAGCAAUGCCGCGUGAGUGAUGAAGGCCUUAGGGUUGUAAAGCUCUUUUUACCAGGGAUGAUAAUGACAGUACCUGGAGAAUAAGCUCCGGCUAACUUCGUGCCAGCAGCCGCGGUAAUACGAAGGGAGCUAGCGUUGUUCGGAAUCACUGGGCGUAAAGCGCACGUAGGUGGGCAGUUAAGUCAGGGGUGAAAGCCCGAGGCUCAACCUCGGAAUUGCCUCUGAUACUGGCUGUCUAGAGUUCGAGAGAGGUGAGUGGAAUUCCUAGUGUAGAGGUGAAAUUCGUAGAUAUUAGGAAGAACACCGGUGGCGAAGGCGGCUCACUGGCUCGAUACUGACACUGAGGUGCGAAAGCGUGGGGAGCAAACAGGAUUAGAUACCCACGUAGUCCCUGAGCGGGCUGGCAAGGCGCAU